AGUCCAUGAUAUAGGCAGAGACUCAACAUAUCUUUGUAUCUCUCCCAUGCUUCAAAAAGAGUUUCGUUGUCUUUCUGCCUAAAUCUUUUAAUUUGACUUCUUAGCAU
This is a small nucleolar RNA of Lathyrus oleraceus (garden pea), 107 nucleotides long. Lineage: Eukaryota; Viridiplantae; Streptophyta; Magnoliopsida; Fabales; Fabaceae. The record is from RefSeq and is a predicted model, not a curated record.